Trifolium pratense (red clover) is the source of this 2997-nucleotide RNA transcript. It is a transcript of the gene named RNA polymerase II C-terminal domain phosphatase-like 2, with no coding region annotated. Lineage: Eukaryota; Viridiplantae; Streptophyta; Magnoliopsida; Fabales; Fabaceae. The record is from RefSeq and is a predicted model, not a curated record. The transcript is spliced from 14 exons.
CGCAACACUAUCCACGUUGGCCGUUCAACCAAACCCACAUUUCACCCUAUAAAUACCAAACCCCUGUAAUAGCAUUUUCAAAAAUCACAGACUCAGGGAGAGAAAAUUCCCGAGAAAAUGCAAGAAAGAGAGGGGCAGAAAGAGCUAUGAGAAGAGACUACAUAACUACAUUAGCUAGUGAUUGUGUCAGUGUAAAUGGCGAAAACUUGAAAAGCUAAAAAAAAAAAAAAAAGACACUGCAAAAUCUAAACAAUUGAACAGUUUAAAAAAAAAAAUCAUCACCGCGUUUUUUUUCCCUUUUUUGUUACGUCAUUUUCUUCUCCGACGACACUAUGAAUCGUUUAGGGUUCAAAACUGAAGUGUUUGAAGGCGACGUGCGUUUAGGCGAACUUGAUUAUUUUCCUGUAACCGCUUUUCAGAACUUCCGAUUUCCGAACAACGAGAUUCGCAUCCACCAUAGAACUUACCGUAGUGAACGUUGUCCUCCUCUUUCCAUUCUUCAAUCGAUUUCCGCUUUCAAUGUUCGAUGUAAACUCGAUUCCUCACUUUCCGUUGAACAACCGCUUUUAAUCAACCUUCACGCUUCUUGUUUUCAUGAAAUGAAGACUGCGGUGGCUGUGGUUGGGGAUGAGGAGCUUCAUCUGGUGGCCAUGCCGAGUAAGAGGAAGAAGUUUCCGUGUUUUUGGUGUUAUGCUGUUCCUGUGGGACUUUAUGAUGCCUGUAUGGGGAUGUUGAAUUUGAGGUGUCUUUCAAUUGUGUUUGAUUUGGAUGAGACUUUGAUUGUUGCGAACACCAUGAAGUCGUUUGAGGAUAGGAUUGAGGCGUUGAGGUGUUGGCUUUUGAGGGAGAGUGAUCCGUUGAGGGUGCAAGGUAUGUCUGGUGAGCUGAAGCGUUAUUUGGAGGAUAGGUUGUUGUUGAAGCAGUUUAUUGAGAUGGAUUCUGUGGUUGAUAGCAAUGGGAAGUUGUAUCAGGUUCAGAUGGAGGAAGUUCCGUCUUUGUCUGAACAGAAAGUUCUUCGCCCUGUUGUUCGGUUGCAAGAUAGGAAUAUUGUUCUUACUCGAAUCAAUCCUGAGAUUCGGGAUACUAGUGUACUAGUGAAGUUACGGCCUGCUUGGGAAGAUUUAAGAUGCUAUUUAACUGCAAAAGGACGAAAGCGGUUUGAAGUGUAUGUUUGUACUAUGGCUGAAAGAGAUUAUGCUUUGGAAAUGUGGAGGCUUCUUGACCCAGGGGCACAUCUUAUAGGUUCAAAGCAAGUAUUUGAUCGUGUUAUUUGUGUUAAAUCAGGCUCCAGAAAAUCUUUACUAAAUGUUUUUCACGAUGGUAUGUGCCAUCCAAAAAUGGCAAUGGUGAUUGAUGACCGUUCAAAGGUUUGGGAGGACAAGGACCAGCCCAGGGUUCAUGUUGUCCCUGCAUUUAGUCCUUACUAUGCUCCUCAAGCAGAGACAGCCAAUGCCGUCCCAGUUCUAUGCGUAGCGAGAAAUGUUGCAUGCAAUGUCAGAGGUUGUUUUUUCAAAGAAUUUGAUGAGAACUUUAUACAAAGAAUUGCUGAAAUCUUCUUUGAAGAUGAGGUUGUAAAUUUACCUCACCCUCCGGUUGUGAGCAGCUACUUGAUGUCUGAGGAGGCGCCGAAUGGUAAUGGUAAUGCUUAUGUCCCCGUCAGUGAAGGAAUGGGCGGCACAGAGUUUGAACGGAGGUUAAACCAACCUGAUGAUAAGGUUUCUGCUGAUUUAGUCAGUCGACCCAUGGCAAACAGUGCUGAUUUCAGACAUGAAAACUCUCAGCCAACUGCUGGCAUGAUUCCAAAUGUCACAGGCCACAGAUCUUCAAGGCCCAUAAUUCCUUCUCAGAAGGAUGCAAUAUCUCCGAAUCACGCGUCUUCUAAUGGCAGAGAUUUACAAAAUGAAGUUGGAAAAUUGAACUUUAUACCAUCUCUAUCUAUUAGAAUGCUGCUAGAAAUUGGGAGGCGGUUGUCCAAAAAGGUUGAAUUUAGGUCAGUUGUAAGCACCAGCAAAGACUUGCAAUUUUCAGUGGAGGUACUAUACACUGAUGAGAAAAUAGGCUUUGGUAUGGGUAGGACAAGGAGGGAUGCUCAACAACUAGCUGCCGAGAAUGCCCUUCGCAGCUUAGCAGAGAAGUAUGUAACAAAUAUGGAGCCUCUAUGUAAAGCUGUUAAUAGAGAAUUGGACGAUCUUUCUCUUGAACACGAAAAUGGUUUCUUGUGGGAUGAGGUCAAUCCGGAAUCCAGUGAACUGCAGACAGAAGAUGGAUUACAAAGAGAAAGUGCUUCAGAGGUGGGGAUAUUUUGUGCUUUUGAUAGUUGAUUUAACCUGUUUUGAUUAAGAAACUAGGUGAUGCUUGGAUAAGGGGUAAUGUGGACUGGAUAUUCCAGAUUGUUUAUGGAAAUGUGUAGCAUCAAUGUGAAGACUAAAUCACUGAAUGUGGAGUGAACUGGCUUCAUGUCUGCUACUGCUUUCUUAGACAAGCUUCUUAAAUUCCUACUUAAAAGGCUUCAGAUGCUGAGACCCGGCCAUUAAAAUCCAAUCCUGUAAAUCAGCAAAACGAAAAACGUAGCUUCCCAAGAACGCCUCAGCCUGUAUCUAGCAAACGAUUGAAGGAAUGAAAAUUUUGCUAAAUGAACAAGAACUACCAUCAUUGCAGCAACUGAAGAAUGUGCCAUUCAUGAGACAGCAGUUUGGAGGCAAAAUGAUUUUAUCGAUGUGCUCUGCUCAUCCAAAACCUCUAGCAUAGUGGUUUUAGGUAUGCUGAGAGGGGAUUUCCCCUGCUAAUUUCUGUUGUAUCACAGAAAACAAGUUAUUAGUCGCGGUUUCAUCUGGGUCAGUUGUUCAUUAGGAGGGAAUGUACUCAGAACCUAAGCAAAAUUUUCAAUAGGAUCUCAAUGUUGGCAAAAUAGUGCACAUGCAAUUAUCACAUUAUUCAUUUAGUUUCAAAUGUAUUCUAAAUAUUACAAACUUAAUAUUAUAAAAGUCUCGAUAAAUA